This 220-nucleotide ribosomal RNA is filed under the name uncultured bacterium. RNAcentral describes it as "partial 16S ribosomal RNA". It matches the Rfam family "Bacterial small subunit ribosomal RNA", at positions 100 to 334 of the family's 1533-position model. The record is from RNAcentral.
CGGGACGGGUGAGUAACACGUAGGAAUCUGCCUUUAGAUGGGGGAUAACUGACCGAAAGGUUAGCUAAUACCGCAUAUGCCGCAAGGUAAAAGGAGCAAUCCGUCUGAAGAUGAGCCUGCGUCCGAUUAGCUAGUUGGUAGGGUAAAAGCCUACCAAGGCUACGAUCGGUAGCUGGUCUGAGAGGAUGAUCAGCCACAAUGGGACUGAGACACGGCCCAU